CCCCUAGAUGUUCUGGGCCGCACGCGCGCUACACUGAACAGUUCAACAAGUCUUAACCUUGGCCGAUAGGUCUGGGUAAUCUUUGAACGCUGUUCGUGAUUGGGAUAGACUUUUGCAAUUUUUGGUCUUCAACGAGGAAUUCCUAGUAAACGCAAGUCAUCAACUUGCAUUGAUUACGUCCCUGCCCUUUGUACACACCGCCCGUCGCACCUACCGAUUGAAUGGUCCGGUGAAGCCUCCGGAUUGGCGCGCACCUCGGUGCCGCCGAGAAGUUGGCUAAACCUUACCAUUUAGAGGAAGGUGAANUCGUAACA
Molecule: ribosomal RNA, 314 nt
Filed under: uncultured eukaryote
Lineage: Eukaryota
Description: partial 18S ribosomal RNA
Rfam family: Eukaryotic small subunit ribosomal RNA
Source: RNAcentral